This 23-nucleotide microRNA is filed under the name Daphnia pulex (common water flea). Its description in RNAcentral is "Dpu-Iab-4-as_3p (mature (guide))". Lineage: Eukaryota; Metazoa; Arthropoda; Branchiopoda; Diplostraca; Daphniidae. The record is from RNAcentral.
AGGAUACAUUCAGUAUACGUCCA